UGGCAAAGGAGUUUUUUUUUUUUUUUUCUUUCUGGGGAUCAAACUCAUGACCUCAUGCUUGCCAGACAGGUGGUCAGGAUGCUGAACUAAAUUCUCAGCCCCCACCUCUUUUUUUUUUGUUUUUGAGACAGCGUUUGCUAUGCAGUUUAGACUGGAUUUGAACUCACUUUGUAACCCAGGAUGGCCUCAAACUUGCACAUCAAUAUCCCUCCUUGGCCUCCUAAGUGCUGGGAUUACAGGCGUGUACCACCAUACCUGGCUUGGCAAACAUUCAGAUACGGUUGCAGCAUAUUUGUUUUAUGCAUGAACUUGGCCUACAUGAAGCCAGAUUUCGUAAGCUCUCAGCUUCAUACUAUUGCAUUUGAAGUUCUAGGUUUGGGUGAGAAGAGGGUCAUAUAUUGUGAAGAAGCCAAGAAACAUUUGUUUAAUGAGUUUUGAAAACUGUAUGUUGUUAUUUUGCUAAUAAAACAUUGGAGAAGUUAUU
This 484-nucleotide long non-coding RNA is filed under the name Cavia porcellus (domestic guinea pig). Its description in RNAcentral is "lncRNA (ENSCPOG00000033784.1)". The record is from RNAcentral. Lineage: Eukaryota; Metazoa; Chordata; Mammalia; Rodentia; Caviidae.